Molecule: ribosomal RNA, 172 nt
Filed under: uncultured bacterium
Lineage: Bacteria
Description: partial 16S ribosomal RNA
Rfam family: Bacterial small subunit ribosomal RNA
Source: RNAcentral
UGAAGCUGGAUUCGCUAGUAAUCGCGCACCAGCCAUGGCGCGGUGAAUACGUUCCCGGGCCUUGUACACACCGCCCGUCAAGCCAUGAAAGCCGGGGGUACCUGAAGUACGUAACCGCAAGGAUCGUCCUAGGGUAAAACUGGUAAUUGGGGCUAAGUCGUAACAAGGUAUC